This is a transfer RNA of Candidatus Nasuia deltocephalinicola str. NAS-ALF, 74 nucleotides long. It matches the Rfam family "tRNA". Rfam says of the family: Transfer RNA (tRNA) molecules are approximately 80 nucleotides in length. NCBI's taxonomy places the organism in Bacteria, Pseudomonadati, Pseudomonadota, Betaproteobacteria. The record is from Rfam.
UGGUCUAUAGCUUAAUUGGUUUGAGCAUUGCCUUGAUAAGGCAAAGGCUGCAGGUUCGAUUCCUGCUAGACCUA